GGCGGCGGAGUAACCGGUGAAGUGUCAAAGAGGCAGGAGUGGAGGGCUGCGGGGGUGACAGGGUGUGGUCUGCCUGGAGCGGCGACGUGGGAGAGCGGGGCAGAGGCCUGGGGCUGUAGAUGGUGCCUGGGUGUGCGGGUGCGGUGACAGCGCGCAGCUGAGCGGCGACUAGGGUGUCCCGGGCUCGCCAAGUGUCCAGCUCCAAGCUGUGCCAGCGACCUCGCGGGCCCUGAAGCCAGACACCUGCGAGUGAGAAGCAAGAGGUGCUCAGCCUUCCCGGCAAGUGCUGUAAGAAGCGACAACCAUCUGGAGUAAAAGAAACUUGAAAACCAGACACCAUCCCAAGACAUCAAAGAAAGAAACAGCUGGAAUCAACGGAGAGAAAGGCAGUGGGCACCUGGAGGAUCUUCAACCUGAGCAGAUGCCAGUUGACAUGGGAACUCUGAGGCCAGCAAUUUAAGGAUUUUCACAUUUGCCUGCAGUGGUUCUGCCAAGACAGAAUAAUCUCCAAGGUAUGAGACAGUAUACUAUUCCCCACUUCGUUGGCUAAACUCAGAAUGGUAUUUUUUCUGUUUGUGGUGAGUGCGACCCUCAAAUGGUAGCCAGGAGUGGUUAUUGGCUCUGCUGGUGGUGUCGGUGAAUGGAAAAUACUACAAAUAUAAUAUGGCCGGAUCAGACCAGGAAGGAGAGGGGCAAAGAAAGGAAGGGAGGAGGGGAAGAGCGGGAGGCUCUCUUGCUUGAUUAGCCCUUUUAUGAGACAGCAGACUUUUUGUCUCUGAGUUUCAAAGACAGAAGACAGCUUCUUUGUGAGCCAAUGUGGCAGGGCCCCACACCUCCACUGAAGACUAUUUUGGAAGAAUUAAAAAGCAGAAGCCCCUCCUUAUAGCUCUGAGUCCUCGGCUGCAUGAGGUCUCCUAUCCAACUCUGCAGGACCACAUUAGCCAAGCUGUCUAACUUCCAGAAGUCUCCGUAAGAACACGCUAUUGCGGAUGUACUAAUCAUAUUAUGGAACACAAUAGGAGCCCCUCUUGAUUCCCUUAGAGGACCAGGCAUAGAGGAUGUGCACCAUCUGGUUGGUGAAGGCAGGAACCAUUUUUUUUUCAAGAGGGCACCCAUCCAAGUUCUGUUUCAUGCGCAUCAGAAGGAGGAAGGAUAAGCAAGUCUGUUUAUAAUGAGAGCGGUGCUGAAGCUAAUAAGAUGGGGUGUGUUUCCAGUGCGCGACGUCUCUCUGAAGCUACGUGUGUUUGCAGUACAUUUGGCCGCCUUGCUUGUUCAGAGGCUGGGCUUCCAAUUGAAAAAUGUAAAGCUCUCCAUGUGUUAAUUGGAAAAUAGAGGCAUCUUUUGCCGUAGAGCAUCUGGCUUCCUAGGUAUUAAUUACGGCUCUGUCUACACAUAGAGACUAGUAUUUUUAACAUCUCUUAUUCACCAUGUUACUUUUAGAAACUGUUAAGUUUUCAGAUCACAGGGGGAGAAGAGUAAGAUAAACUCUACUAGAUA
Molecule: long non-coding RNA, 1497 nt
Organism: Rattus rattus (black rat)
Lineage: Eukaryota; Metazoa; Chordata; Mammalia; Rodentia; Muridae
Exons: 4
Source: RefSeq, a predicted model, not a curated record